Molecule: ribosomal RNA, 116 nt
Filed under: Lentibacillus sp. JNUCC-1
Lineage: Bacteria; Bacillati; Bacillota; Bacilli; Caryophanales; Bacillaceae
Source: RNAcentral
UCUGGUGGCAAUAGCGAAGAGGUCACACCUGUUCCCAUGCCGAACACAGCAGUUAAGCUCUUCUGCGCCGAUGGUAGUUGGGGCAUCGCCCCUGCAAGAGUAGGUCGCCGCCAGGC